RNAcentral lists this ribosomal RNA (305 nucleotides) under uncultured bacterium. Its description in RNAcentral is "bacterial SSU rRNA". It matches the Rfam family "Bacterial small subunit ribosomal RNA", at positions 335 to 640 of the family's 1533-position model. The record is from RNAcentral.
CCCCCUACGGGGGCAGCAGUGGGGAAUAUUGCACAAUGGGCGCAAGUCUGAUGCAGCGACGCCGCGUGCGGGAUGGAGGCCUUCGGGUUGUAAACCUCUUUUGCCAGGGGACAAAGGCGGCCACGGGUGGCCGUAAGAGGGUACCUGGAGAAAAAGCAUCGGCUAACUCCGUGCCAGCAGCCGCGGUAAUACGGAGGAUGCGAGCGUUAUCCGGAUUUAUUGGGUUUAAAGGGUGCGCAGGCGGCGUGUCAAGUCAGCGGUAAAAUGUCGGGGCUCAACCCCGGCCGGCCGUUGAAACUGGCGUG